Molecule: ribosomal RNA, 856 nt
Filed under: uncultured bacterium
Lineage: Bacteria
Description: partial 16S ribosomal RNA
Rfam family: Bacterial small subunit ribosomal RNA
Source: RNAcentral
AGAGUUUGAUCAUGGCUCAGGACGAACGCUGGCGGCGUGCCUAACACAUGCAAGUCGAGCGGAUGCUGCAGCAAUGCAGCAUUAGCGGCGGACGGGUGAGUAACGCGUGGGCAACCUGCCUUCUACAGGGGGAUAACACAGGGAAACUUGUGCUAAUACCGCAUAACAUAUCUUUAUGGCAUCAUAGGGAUAUUAAAGGAGCAAUCCGGUAGAAGAUGGGCCCGCGUCCGAUUAGCUAGUUGGAGGUGUAACGGACCACCAAGGCGACGAUCGGUAGCCGAACUGAGAGGUUGAUCGGCCACAUUGGGACUGAGACACGGCCCAGACUCCUACGGGAGGCAGCAGUGGGGAAUAUUGCGCAAUGGGGGAAACCCUGACGCAGCAACGCCGCGUGAAGGAUGAAGGUCUUCGGAUUGUAAGCUUCUUUAGCCGGGGACGAAGAAUGACGGUACCCGGAGAAUAAGCCACGGCUAACUACGUGCCAGCAGCCGCGGUAAUACGUAGGUGGCGAGCGUUGUCCGGAAUUACUGGGUGUAAAGGGCGUGUAGGCGGGGAACCAAGUCAGAUGUGAAACUCCAGGGCUUAACUCUGGCGCUGCAUCUGAAACUGGAUCUCUUGAGUGCUGGAGAGGAAAGCGGAAUUCCUAGUGUANCGGUGAAAUGCGUAGAUAUUANGAGGAACACCAGUGGCGAAGGCGGCUUUCUGGACAGUAACUGACGCUGANCGCGAAAGCGUGGGGAGCAAACAGGANUAGAUACCCUGGUAGUCCACGCUGUAAACGAUGGAUACUANGUGUANGANGUAUCGANCCCUUCUGUGCCGGANUUNAACACAAUAAGUAUCCCNCCUGGGNNUA